Molecule: non-coding RNA, 29 nt
Filed under: Mus musculus (house mouse)
Lineage: Eukaryota; Metazoa; Chordata; Mammalia; Rodentia; Muridae
Source: RNAcentral
UGUGAUUGGUUACCUUACUCAGGAUGAUA